This 693-nucleotide ribosomal RNA is filed under the name uncultured bacterium. RNAcentral describes it as "bacterial SSU rRNA". It matches the Rfam family "Bacterial small subunit ribosomal RNA", at positions 65 to 751 of the family's 1533-position model. The record is from RNAcentral.
GACGGCAGCACGGGUGCUUGCACCUGGUGGCGAGUGGCGAACGGGUGAGUAAUGCACCGGAACGUACCCAGUAAUGGGGGAUAACACAUCGAAAGAUGUGCUAAUACCGCAUACGCCCUGAGGGGGAAAGCGGGGGAUCGCAAGACCUCGCGUUAUUGGAGCGGCCGAUGCCGGAUUAGCUAGUUGGUGGGGUAAAGGCCUACCAAGGCGACGAUCCGUAGCUGGUCUGAGAGGACGACCAGCCACACUGGGACUGAGACACGGCCCAGACUCCUACGGGAGGCAGCAGUGGGGAAUUUUGGACAAUGGGCGCAAGCCUGAUCCAGCCAUGCCGCGUGAGUGAAGAAGGCCUUCGGGUUGUAAAGCUCUUUCGCAAGGAAAGAAAACUUACCUUCUAAUAAAGGGUGAGGUUGACGGUACCUUGAUAAGAAGCACCGGCUAACUACGUGCCAGCAGCCGCGGUAAUACGUAGGGUGCGAGCGUUAAUCGGAAUUACUGGGCGUAAAGCGUGCGCAGGCGGUUCGACAAGUCUGAUGUGAAAUCCCCGGGCUCAACCUGGGAACUGCGUUGGAAACUGUCGGGCUAGAGUGUAGAAGAGGGGGGUAGAAUUCCACGUGUAGCAGUGAAAUGCGUAGAGAUGUGGAGGAAUACCGAUGGCGAAGGCAGCCCCCUGGGCUAACACUGACGCUCAUG